AACGAACGCUGGCGGCAUGCCUAACACAUACAAGUCGAACGAGACCUUCGGGUCUAGUGGCGCACGGGUGCGUAACGCGUGGGAACCUGCCCUUAGGUUCGGAAUAACUCCCCGAAAGGGGUGCUAAUACCGGAUAAUGUCUUCGGACCAAAGAUUUAUCGCCUUUGGAUGGGCCCGCGUUGGAUUAGCUAGUUGGUAGGGUAAAAGCCUACCAAGGCGACGAUCCAUAGCUGGUCUGAGAGGAUGAUCAGCCACACUGGGACUGAGACACGGCCCAGACUCCUACGGGAAGCAGCAGUGGGGAAUAUUGGACAAUGGGCGAAAGCCUGAUCCAGCAAUGCCGCGUGAGUGAUGAAGGCCUUAGGGUUGUAAAGCUCUUUUACCCGGGAUGAUAAUGACAGUACCGGGAGAAUAAGCUCCGGCUAACUCCGUG
This 433-nucleotide ribosomal RNA is filed under the name uncultured bacterium. Its description in RNAcentral is "partial 16S ribosomal RNA". It matches the Rfam family "Bacterial small subunit ribosomal RNA", at positions 29 to 507 of the family's 1533-position model. The record is from RNAcentral.